RNAcentral lists this ribosomal RNA (592 nucleotides) under uncultured Staphylococcus sp. Its description in RNAcentral is "bacterial SSU rRNA". It matches the Rfam family "Bacterial small subunit ribosomal RNA", at positions 96 to 675 of the family's 1533-position model. Lineage: Bacteria; Bacillati; Bacillota; Bacilli; Caryophanales; Staphylococcaceae. The record is from RNAcentral.
CGGCGGACGGGUGAGUAACACGUGGAUAACCUACCUAUAAGACUGGGAUAACUUCGGGAAACCGGAGCUAAUACCGGAUAAUAUUUUGAACCGCAUGGUUCAAAAGUGAAAGACGGUCUUGCUGUCACUUAUAGAUGGAUCCGCGCUGCAUUAGCUAGUUGGUAAGGUAACGGCUUACCAAGGCAACGAUGCAUAGCCGACCUGAGAGGGUGAUCGGCCACACUGGAACUGAGACACGGUCCAGACUCCUACGGGAGGCAGCAGUAGGGAAUCUUCCGCAAUGGGCGAAAGCCUGACGGAGCAACGCCGCGUGAGUGAUGAAGGUCUUCGGAUCGUAAAACUCUGUUAUUAGGGAAGAACAUAUGUAUAAGUAACUGUGCACAUCUUGACGGUACCUAAUCAGAAAGCCACGGCUAACUACGUGCCAGCAGCCGCGGUAAUACGUAGGUGGCAAGCGUUAUCCGGAAUUAUUGGGCGUAAAGCGCGCGUAGGCGGUUUUUUAAGUCUGAUGUGAAAGCCCACGGCUCAACCGUGGAGGGUCAUUGGAAACUGGAAUACUUGAGUGCAGAAGAGGAAAGUGGAAUUCCAUGUG